RNAcentral lists this ribosomal RNA (497 nucleotides) under uncultured bacterium. RNAcentral describes it as "partial 16S ribosomal RNA". It matches the Rfam family "Bacterial small subunit ribosomal RNA", at positions 28 to 507 of the family's 1533-position model. The record is from RNAcentral.
GACGAACGCUGGCGGCGUGCCUAAUACAUGCAAGUUGAGCGCUGAAGGUUGGUACUUGUACCAACUGGAUGAGCAGCGAACGGGUGAGUAACGCGUGGGGAAUCUGCCUUUGAGCGGGGGACAACAUCUGGAAACGAAUGCUAAUACCGCAUAAAAACUUUAAACACAAGUUUUAAGUUUGAAAGAUGCAAUUGCAUCACUCAAAGAUGAUCCCGCGUUGUAUUAGCUAGUUGGUGAGGUAAAGGCUCACCAAGGCGAUGAUACAUAGCCGGACUGAGAGGGGGGACGGGCAACAUGGGAACUGGAAAACGGCCAAAAUCCCACGGGAGGCAGCAGGAGGGGAACUUCGGGAAAGGAGGGAAGUCUGACCGAGGAAAGGCGGGGGAGUGAAGGAGGGUCUCGGAUCGUAAAAAUCUGGUGGUAGAGAAGAACGAUAGUGGGAGGGGAAAGUGCAUGAAUUGACGGUAACUACUCAGAAAGGGACGGCUAACUACGUG